UACGUAGGGUGCGAGCGUUGUCCGGAAUUAUUGGGCGUAAAGAGCUUGUAGGCGGUCUGUCGCGUCUGCUGUGAAAAUCCGGGGCUCAACCCCGGACUUGCAGUGGGUACGGGCAGACUAGAGUGUGGUAGGGGAGACUGGAAUUCCCGGUGUAGCGGUGAAAUGUGUAGAGAUCGGGAGGAACACCGGUGGCGAAGGCGGGUCUCUGGGCCGAAAUUGACGCUGAGGAGCGAAAGCGUGGGGAGCAAACAGG
This 253-nucleotide ribosomal RNA is filed under the name uncultured bacterium. RNAcentral describes it as "partial 16S ribosomal RNA". It matches the Rfam family "Bacterial small subunit ribosomal RNA", at positions 524 to 776 of the family's 1533-position model. The record is from RNAcentral.